Molecule: ribosomal RNA, 426 nt
Filed under: Vibrio sp. R-78
Lineage: Bacteria; Pseudomonadati; Pseudomonadota; Gammaproteobacteria; Vibrionales; Vibrionaceae
Description: bacterial SSU rRNA
Rfam family: Bacterial small subunit ribosomal RNA
Source: RNAcentral
UAAGGGCUCACCAAGGCGACGAUCCCUAGCUGGUCUGAGAGGAUGAUCAGCCACACUGGAACUGAGACACGGUCCAGACUCCUACGGGAGGCAGCAGUGGGGAAUAUUGCACAAUGGGCGCAAGCCUGAUGCAGCCAUGCCGCGUGUAUGAAGAAGGCCUUCGGGUUGUAAAGYACUUUCAGUCGUGAGGAAGGYRGUGUCGUUAAUAGCGGCRUURUUUGACGUUAGCGACAGAAGAAGCACCGGCUAACUCCGUGCCAGCAGCCGCGGUAAUACGGAGGGUGCGAGCGUUAAUCGGAAUUACUGGGCGUAAAGCGCAUGCAGGUGGUUUGUUAAGUCAGAUGUGAAAGCCCGGGGCUCAACCUCGGAAUAGCAUUUGAAACUGGCAGACUAGAGUACUGUAGAGGGGGGUAGAAUUUCAGGUGU